CCUACGGGAGGCUGCAGUGAGGAAUAUUGGUCAAUUGACGCAAGUCUGAACCAGCCAUGCCGCGUGCAGGAAGACGGCUCUAUGAGUUGUAAACUGCUUUUAUACGGGGAUAAACGCAGACACGCGUGUCUUUUUGCAUGUACCCUAUGAAUAAGGAUCGGCUAACUCCGUGCCAGCAGCCGCGGUAAUACGGAGGAUGCAAGCGUUAUCCGGAUUUAUUGGGUUUAAAGGGUGCGUAGGCGGUUGUAUAAGUCAGAGGUGAAAGUCUGAGGCUCAACCAUGGAAUUGCCGAUGAAACUGGUAGGCUAGAGAGUAGUUGAGGUAGGCGGAAUGUGUGGUGUAGCGGUGAAAUGCUUAGAGAUCAUGCAGAACACCGAUUGCGAAGGCAGCUUACCAAGCUACAACUGACAUUGAGGCACGAAAGCGUGGGGAGCAAACAGGAUUAGAUACCCGGGUAGUC
RNAcentral lists this ribosomal RNA (460 nucleotides) under uncultured bacterium. Its description in RNAcentral is "partial 16S ribosomal RNA". It matches the Rfam family "Bacterial small subunit ribosomal RNA", at positions 338 to 795 of the family's 1533-position model. The record is from RNAcentral.